Molecule: ribosomal RNA, 375 nt
Filed under: uncultured bacterium
Lineage: Bacteria
Description: bacterial SSU rRNA
Rfam family: Bacterial small subunit ribosomal RNA
Source: RNAcentral
UAAUACGUAGGGGGCGAGCGUUGUCCGGAAUUAUUGGGCGUAAAGCGCGUGCAGGCGGUUUUUUAAGUCUGUGGUGAAAGACCGGGGCUCAACCCCGGAGUGUCCAUGGAGACUGGAAGACUGGAGUGUCGGAGAGGAGUGCGGAAUCCCUGGUGUAGCGGUGGAAUGCGUAGAGAUCAGGGGGAACACCGAUGGCGAAGGCAGCACUCUGGCCGAAUACUGACGCUGAGACGCGAAAGCGUGGGGAGCGAACGGGAUUAGAUACCCCGGUAGUCCACGCCGUAAACGAUGACGACUAGGUGUGGGGGGAGUUAUCCCUCCGUGCCGCAGCUAACGCAUGAAGUCGUCCGCCUGGGGAGUACGGCCGCAAGGUUG